AUUUAGGCUCCGAUAUCUCAUUUUCUGACGAUGUCCCUUCUUUUCCUGAGGAUGCACUGGUUCGAAUUCCGCUGUAUGUGUUCAAUGGCAAGGCGAAGAAAACAACCAUCGAGAUUAAGAAAGGAACCCCUCUUCCUUUUUGUACAAAAGUUACAGUGGGUCACAGCGUCUUUAAUGUAGUAUGUGAUGUGGAUAGUUUCUGGUCUGUUAACGGAGCAAAG
Long non-coding RNA from Eurytemora carolleeae, 221 nucleotides. RefSeq lists it as uncharacterized. Lineage: Eukaryota; Metazoa; Arthropoda; Copepoda; Calanoida; Temoridae. The record is from RefSeq and is a predicted model, not a curated record. The transcript has 3 exons.